This 487-nucleotide ribosomal RNA is filed under the name uncultured bacterium. RNAcentral's name for it is "bacterial SSU rRNA". It matches the Rfam family "Bacterial small subunit ribosomal RNA", at positions 29 to 521 of the family's 1533-position model. The record is from RNAcentral.
AAUGAACGUUGGCGGCGUGGAUUAGGCAUGCAAGUCGUGCGAGAAGUGUUUUUUGCUUGCAUUGAACACGGACAGCGGCGAAAGGGAGAGUAACGUGUGGUUACAUGCCCAGGGGUCCAGGAUAGCGUCGGGAAACUGGCGGUAAUACUGGAUGACAUCUUCGGAUCAAAGGUGAGAUUCCGCCCUUGGAUUGGACCGCAUACUAUUAGCUAGUUGGUGGGGUAAUGGCCUACCAAGGCAGCGAUGGUUACCGGGUGUGAGAGCAUGGCCCGGCUCACUGGGACUGAGACACUGCCCAGACACCUACGGGUGGCUGCAGUCGAGAAUCUUCGGCAAUGGACGAAAGUCUGACCGAGCGACGCCGCGUGCGGGAUGAAGGCCCUCGGGUUGUAAACCGCUGUCAGUUUGGGAGGAAGGAGGUGUGAAGAGCAUCUCUUGACCGAUCUUCAGAGGAAGGACGGGCUAAGUUCGUGCCAGCCGCCGCGGU